RNAcentral lists this ribosomal RNA (464 nucleotides) under Vreelandella stevensii. RNAcentral's name for it is "partial 16S ribosomal RNA". It matches the Rfam family "Bacterial small subunit ribosomal RNA", at positions 338 to 795 of the family's 1533-position model. The record is from RNAcentral. Lineage: Bacteria; Pseudomonadati; Pseudomonadota; Gammaproteobacteria; Oceanospirillales; Halomonadaceae.
CCUACGGGGGGCUGUAGUGGGGAAUAUUGGACAAUGGGCGAAAGCCUGAUCCAGCCAUGCCGCGUGUGUGAAGAAGGCCUUCGGGUUGUAAAGCACUUUCAGUGGGGAAGAAAGCCUUGGGGCUAAUACCCUCGAGGAAGGACAUCACCCACAGAAGAAGCACCGGCUAACUCCGUGCCAGCAGCCGCGGUAAUACGGAGGGUGCGAGCGUUAAUCGGAAUUACUGGGCGUAAAGCGCGCGUAGGCGGUCUGAUAAGCCGGUUGUGAAAGCCCCGGGCUCAACCUGGGAACGGCAUCCGGAACUGUCAGGCUAGAGUGCAGGAGAGGAAGGUAGAAUUCCCGGUGUAGCGGUGAAAUGCGUAGAGAUCGGGAGGAAUACCAGUGGCGAAGGCGGCCUUCUGGACUGACACUGACGCUGAGGUGCGAAAGCGUGGGUAGCAAACAGGAUUAAUACCCUAGUAGUC